This 981-nucleotide ribosomal RNA is filed under the name Pseudomonas putida. RNAcentral describes it as "bacterial SSU rRNA". It matches the Rfam family "Bacterial small subunit ribosomal RNA", at positions 56 to 1032 of the family's 1533-position model. The record is from RNAcentral. Lineage: Bacteria; Pseudomonadati; Pseudomonadota; Gammaproteobacteria; Pseudomonadales; Pseudomonadaceae.
UGCAGUCGAGCGGAUGACGGGAGCUUGCUCCUUGAUUCACGGCGGACGGGUGAGUAAUGCCUAGGAAUCUGCCUGGUAGUGGGGGACAACGUUUCGAAAGGAACGCUAAUACCGCAUACGUCCUACGGGAGAAAGCAGGGGACCUUCGGGCCUUGCGCUAUCACAUGAGCCUAUGUCGGAUUAGCUAGUUGGUGAGGUAAUGGCUCACCAAGGCGACGAUCCGUAACUGGUCUGAGAGGAUGAUCAGUCACACUGGAACUGAGACACGGUCCACACUCCUACGGGAGGCAGCAGUGGGGAAUAUUGGACAAUGGGCGAAAGCCUGAUCCAGCCAUGCCGCGUGUGUGAAGAAGGUCUUCGGAUUGUAAAGCACUUUAAGUUGGGAGGAAGGGCAGUAAGUUAAUACCUUGCUGUUUUGACGUUACCGACAGAAUAAGCACCGGCUAACUCUGUGCCAGCAGCCGCGGUAAUACAGAGGGUGCAAGCGUUAAUCGGAAUUACUGGGCGUAAAGCGCGCGUAGGUGGUUCGUUAAGUUGGAUGUGAAAGCCCCGGGCUCAACCUGGGAACUGCAUCCAAAACUGGCGAGCUAGAGUACGGUAGAGGGUGGUGGAAUUUCCUGUGUAGCGGUGAAAUGCGUAUAUAUACGAAGGAACACCAGUGGCGCAAGGCGACCACCUGGACUGAUACUGACACUGAUGUGCGAAAGCGUGUGGAGCUCACACGAUUAGAUACCCUGCUAGUCCACGCCGUAUACGAUGUCAACUAGCCGUUGGAGUCCUUGAGAUUAUACUGCCGCACCUAACGCAUUAACUUGACCGCCUGUUUAGUACGGCCUCCCGGUUAGAACUCAGAUGAUUUGACUGGGGCUUGCACAACCAGCGGAGCAUGUGUUUUACUCGUAACUACGCAUAAAAACUUACCCCGCCUUGAUAUCCACAGCAGCUUUCCACAAAAUGAAUCGGUGCCUUCUUCUAACUCUA